GACUAAGAUGUCAGUGCUGGCCAAAGGGGGCGCCGAGAAGCUGAAGGAAAGAAGACGCAGAAUGUUAGAUUAAAGGAGGCAGGAUGGGCUAAAUACUCCUAUACAGUCCACGCAAAGAGGGGUUGGACGAGCUCGGAGAGAAAGAAAAUGAUAUAUGUCAGAAACUCAGAUAUCCGUAAAGAAAGAAAGCAUUGGGAAAAGAAUAAAUGAAGGGAAGGGUAUCAAUUUACUUCUAAGAAUUCCCCAAAAGGAACAAAUGGAAAAUAGAAUUUUAUCUGCUUCAUUUGCAAUGUCACAAGUAUGGAUCAUUUUCAUAAAAUUCAUCUCAUACCCCUGGGAUGAAAGAGUUGAUGAGUUUUUCUUCCCAGGAAAUUACCUUUCCACACAGUCUGAGAGUCUGGAAGUCAAGUUGGAUGCGGGAGCAUCGUGCCCCCCUAUAGCAUACAGCAGUCCAUUCCAGGUCGUCACUCCUACGCCACCUCUCCUUUUUGACAUCUGUGCACACAGUGUCCACUUAUUAGUAUGAGGAUCAAAACAUUCUACUGAUUUGAGACAAGAACUUCCAUCACGACCACCAACUGCAUAAAGUCUGCAAAAAGAAUAUAUGAAAUGAUAAAUAAGACAUGUGCCAUUAUGCUUAGAACAAAGAGGCUCUUCUUAUGUUGUUAUCUCAUUGAAUUUAAGGUGCCAUCAGUUAUAAAACACACUGUCAAUGUGUGUGUCAUUAAAAAAGUAUGCUAUGUUUGAAAUGACACAUGUAAGUAUCAUAUAUCACUCUGUAUAUACAUGAAAAGGAAAACAAACUGCACAUGAAGGCAGUGACAACUGUUUCAUCACUGCCAUCUCUUUGACAAGUCACCAUUGGUUGUAAUAUGCAUGGAAAUUCAGAGGUGUUAAAAUAUGUCUUAGAAUAGACAAAAUAUGGUGUAUAAAUAUACCAUGGCUUUUUUUUUAAUAGUUAAGACUUUAUUAUCAAGGAAAGAAGCUAACCUUCUCUGAGCACCUACCAUAGGUUAGGCACUUCACAUGUACCGAUUUAAUCAUCACAGUGAUAUGAGAAACUGUUUGAAUCCCUGUUUCACAGUGUAAAGAAACAAGGGUUCACAGAGAGUAAGAGACUUGCACAGGGUCACCCAGUAAGCAGCAGAAUUGGGACACAUAGUUUCAUUAAUGAACAGUUGGACAGUCAACACAGUCAUGUAGAAUGUACUUGUAAUAGUGAAAUAGGAGAAUAAAAAUAUAGCUUGAAACAAUGGCAUAAAAAGUAACAUUUGUUAUGUAUGAACAAUGAUCCUUCAUUAAUUUAAAUUACUGCAGAAAAGGAUAUAGGUUAUCAUGUGAGCAACCUAAAUGUUACCUAGUAGAUCAAUUUAAAUUCAUUAUCAAUCAAUACACUGCACUAAUUUGAAAGUCUUUUACUCUGAACCUAAAAGUUUGUAAAAUAUUUUAAAUAUUUGAACACAAUAUUUCUUGUUAAGCAAAAAUCUUCUUGUACUUACUAUUCAUUUGGGAAGCUUUCCAUAAAUAUUUUUUCUACUAGUUUUUUAAAAGAGUAAAUUUACGUUGUUGCUCAUAGAAAAGAUUAUACAUUUUGAAUUUACAAAUGUUAGUUAAUACUUAACUGUUUUUAUCAUUUCUCAAGAAAUAAUAUUUUAAGUAUCCCAAAUUUCUGCCAAUUAAAACUCUAGUUAUUUAUAUUUGGGUAAAUCUACAUACUUAACCACAGAUUUCCUAAUUAAGGUAUGCCACUAUGUCACUGAAACUGUUUCUUAAAUAAUAAGAUGACCAUAUCUUAAACAGCAACAUAUGGUUAUAGCAAUAUCU
Molecule: long non-coding RNA, 1824 nt
Organism: Homo sapiens (human)
Lineage: Eukaryota; Metazoa; Chordata; Mammalia; Primates; Hominidae
Source: Ensembl